GACGAACGCUGGCGGCGUGCUUAACACAUGCAAGUCGAACGGUGAAGGGACCGGUUUUUGCUGGUUCUGGAUGAGUGGCGAACGGGUGAGUAACACGUGAGUAACCUGCCCCCUUCUUCUGGAUAACCGCAUGAAAGUGUGGCUAAUACUGGAUAUUCUGCGCCUGCUGCAUGGUGGGUGUGGGAAAGAUAUUGUUUCGGUGGGGGAUGGGCUCGCGGCCUAUCAGCUUGUUGGUGGGGUGAUGGCCUACCAAGGCGGUGACGGGUAGCCGGCCUGAGAGGGUGGACGGUCACACUGGGACUGAGACACGGCCCAGACUCCUACGGGAGGCAGCAGUGGGGAAUAUUGCACAAUGGGCGAAAGCCUGAUGCAGCGACGCCGCGUGAGGGAUGGAGGCCUUCGGGUUGUAAACCUCUUUCGCCAGUGAAGCAGGCCUGUCCCUUUUGUGGGUGGGUUGACGGUAGCUGGAGAAGAAGCGCCGGCUAACUACGUG
RNAcentral lists this ribosomal RNA (493 nucleotides) under uncultured bacterium. RNAcentral describes it as "partial 16S ribosomal RNA". It matches the Rfam family "Bacterial small subunit ribosomal RNA", at positions 28 to 507 of the family's 1533-position model. The record is from RNAcentral.